UAAUGUUGGUAAGAAAAAGGAAGCCCCGCGUGAACAGGACUUCCCGUGUAGAGCCGCUUAAGACGGUGACAAAUUUAUACAGUUUAAAUA
Molecule: small RNA, 90 nt
Filed under: Scardovia inopinata F0304
Lineage: Bacteria; Bacillati; Actinomycetota; Actinomycetes; Bifidobacteriales; Bifidobacteriaceae
Description: RNA anti-toxin A
Rfam family: RNA anti-toxin A
Source: Rfam by way of RNAcentral